This 274-nucleotide unclassified non-coding RNA is filed under the name Hevea brasiliensis (rubber tree). The record is from RNAcentral. Lineage: Eukaryota; Viridiplantae; Streptophyta; Magnoliopsida; Malpighiales; Euphorbiaceae.
UGGCUUUGUUGCUGAUAUCCGCCGAAUGAAUGUUGCUCUCACACGUGCCAGAAGGGCAUUAUGGGUAUGGUAUUUUACUUUUUUCAAGUAUUCUCUUUCAUUAUUAAAAUUUUUGGUUGCACUAUUACACUCAAGUCAUUCAUUCCCAACAAGUGCACACAUGCACCUUAAAACCAAGUGCUGGACUGGAGUUGUUUUAAAUUUUAAACUGAUCUGCCAACAGGUUAUGGGGAAUGCAAAUUCGCUGGUCCAAUCUGAUGAUUGGGCUGCAUUG